UGACAGAGCCAGCGAGUAUUUCCUUGACCGGAAGGUCCGGGUAAUCUUGUUAAACUCUGUCGUGCUGGGGAUAGAGCAUUGCAAUUAUUGCUCUUCAACGAGGAAUCCCUAGUAAGCGCAAGUCAUCAGCUUGCGUUGAUUACGUCCCUGCCCUUUGUACACACCGCCCGUCGCUACUACCGAUUGAAUGGCUCAGUGAGACCUCCGGACUGGCCCAGAGAGGUGGGCAACUACCACUCAGGGCCGGAAAGUUGUUCAAACUCGGUCAUUUAGAGGAAGUAAAAGUCGUAACAAGGUCUCCGUUGGUGAACCAGCGGAGGGAUCAUUA
RNAcentral lists this ribosomal RNA (328 nucleotides) under Lomentospora prolificans. RNAcentral's name for it is "Scedosporium prolificans Eukaryotic small subunit ribosomal RNA". It matches the Rfam family "Eukaryotic small subunit ribosomal RNA", at positions 1504 to 1831 of the family's 1831-position model. The record is from Rfam by way of RNAcentral. Lineage: Eukaryota; Fungi; Ascomycota; Sordariomycetes; Microascales; Microascaceae.